GAGUUUGAUCCUGGCUCAGGACGAACGCUGACGGUGUGCUUUAGGCAUGCAAGUCGAACGAGAAAGCCCUUCGGGGUGAGUAGAGUGGCGAACGGGUGAGUAACACGUGGGCAACCUGCCCCUCGCAGGGGGAUAACCGGAGGAAACUCCGGCUAAUACCCCGUAAGCUUUCAGGGUCGCAUGGCCCUGAAAGGAAAGGUAGCUUCGGCCAUCCGGCGAGGGAUGGGCCCGCGGUGCAUUAGCUAGUUGGUGGGGUAAAGGCCCACCAAGGCGACGAUGCGUAGCUGGUCUGAGAGGAUGAUCAGCCACACUGGGACUGAGACACGGCCCAGACUCCUACGGGAGGCAGCAGCCAGGAAUCUUGGGCAAUGGGCGAAAGCCUGACCCAGCAACACCGUGUGGGCGAUGAAGGCCUUCGGGUCGUAAAGCCCUGUUGAUAGGGACGAAGGGCGAAGGGUUAAUAGCCCCUAGCCUGACGGUACCUUUCGAGGAAGCCCCGGCUAACUACGUGCCAGCAGCCGCGGUAAUACGUAGGGGGCGAGCGUUGUCCGGAAUUAUUGGGCGUAAAGAGCGUGUAGGCGGUUCGGUAAGUCUGCCGUGAAAACCUGAGGCUCAACCUCGGGCGUGCGGUGGAUACUGCCGGGCUAGAGGACGGUAGAGGCGAGUGGAAUUCCCGGUGUAGCGGUGAAAUGCGCAGAUAUCGGGAGGAACACCAGUAGCGAAGGCGGCUCGCUGGGCCGUUCCUGACGCUGAGACGCGAAAGCUAGGGGAGCGAACAGGAUUAGAUACCCUGGUAGUCCUAGCUGUAAACGAUGGACACUAGGUGUGGGGGGAGUCGAAUCCCUCUGUGCCGCAGUUAACGCGUUAAGUGUCCCGCCUGGGGAGUACGGCCGCAAGGCUAAAACUCAAAAGAAUUGACGGGGGCCCGCACAAGCAGCGGAGCAUGUUCUUUAAUUCGAUGCAACGCGAAGAACCUUACCUGGACUUGACAUGGUGCUGCAAGCGCACGGAAACGUGUGACCUUCGAGGGUGCACCACAGAUGCUGCAUGGCUGUCGUCAGCUCGUGUCGCGAGAUGUUGGGUUAAGUCCCGCAACGAGCGCAACCCCUGUGGCGUGUUGCCAUCAUUAAGUUGGGGACUCACGCCAGACUGCCGGUGACAAACCGGAGGAAGGUGGGGAUGAGGUCAAGUCAUCAUGGUCCUUACGUCUAGGGCUACACACGUGCUACAAUGAUGCAUACAGUGGGUCGCAAGAGCGCAAGCUGGAGCCAAUCCUCAAAGUGCAUCUCAGUGCGGAUUGCAGUCUGCAACUCGACUGCAUGAAGCUGGAAUCGCUAGUAAUCGUGGAUCAGCUACGCCACGGUGAAUACGUUCCCGGGCCUUGUACACACCGCCCGUCACGCCAUGGAAGCUUGGAGCGCCCGAAGUCGGUGCCGGAACCCGCAAGGGGCCUAGCCGCCGAAGGCGAGCCAAGUGACUGGGGCGAAGUCGUAACAAGGUAGCCGUAGGGGAACCUGCGGCUGGAUCACCUCCUUUCU
RNAcentral lists this ribosomal RNA (1538 nucleotides) under uncultured bacterium. RNAcentral's name for it is "bacterial SSU rRNA". It matches the Rfam family "Bacterial small subunit ribosomal RNA". The record is from RNAcentral.